CAUAAGAAGAAGUAAAGCAGGAAGAGGAAGUGUAGUCAUUCAGGAGGAGUAGAGCUCAUUCACGCCACAUCGACAUGACGGCAUUUAGAAAACUUUUAACAUGUGGACUAAUCGUGGCGUCAAUCAUGGUGUUCAUGUUGCUGAAGAUUCUUACAUUUGGAAAUUCUGCUCUCCUACAGAAGAGGUCCAAUUGCCAGUGUUCUCUGUCUUGUGAAGGAGCACCUGAGCACCUGAUGAAACUGAAGAGCGUUCAUGUUCGUGUAGAACACCAAUCAGAUACAGUUUAUGAAGAAAUAUAUAACAUCUCCAGUGUAUUCAGAGAAGAUGGACACUGUUCUGUGGUCGUGCCGAAAUGUUUACAGGGGGACACACAGUUCGUAUUAAGAAUAUAUGCUGAUGAAAAUAAUCCAGUACCCAAUCAACUCUACGAAUUAAAAAAGUUAAAGCCUGAGUGUACAGAGAAAAACCUGAGGAGUGGUGCUGACAGGAACUUCUUCAACACACCCCUGACCCUGCUGAUUUUUUGCUGUUUUGUUAUUUUUUAAAAACCUGCCAAAGAAAUGCUGCCAUUUUCAGCAUUUCACUCUGCACUCUAUCAUUUUCUACCUCAGUCCAGCGCAAGACUCACUACAGAACUUUUCUCAGACUUUUCAGAAGUUGGGUUAGGUGUUCUUCUUAGUGCAGUCUACUGUAAGCUUUUGCCCACUCACACUUUUGGUGCUCACACAGGUUCAUUUUUACGUCCGUCAGAGUUCAGUUUGUUCCGAUGAAAUGUGUGCAACAGUAUGAUUUUCUGAAUACAAUGGUCCUAAAUUGUAUAUACAACCAGUAGAACGCAACAGAGAACUGACAACUGAACAGAAUAAACACAGGGCUUAAAUACACAGUGAACUGAAGAUCUAACUGCUCUCUUGGCAGCAUGCACCGUCAAGCCUCUACAACUGAUCCAGAAUGCUGCAGCAAGACGGGUCUUUAACGAACUGAAGAGAGCACGUCUUCAUCAGUUUGCAUUGGCUUCCAAUAGCUGCUCGCAUCCAAUUCAAGGCUCUGAUGUUUGCCUACAGAACAACCACUGGCUCUGCAGCACUAUACCUAAACCCACUACUUCAGACUUAUGCACCCUCCAGAAUUUUGUGUUCUGCAAGUGAACGGCGCCUUGCGGUGCCAUCCCAAAGGGGCACAAAAUCACUCUCACGGACCUUCUCCUGCUCUGUUCCCGGCUGGUGGAAUGACCUGCCACGCUUUUCAAAAAACUGCUAAAGACAUAUCUUGACCCAGUAAUAUUAGCACUUACUCUUUAUUUAUAUUUUUACUUUUCUUUUUUUGAUUUCUAUUCUUUUUCUCCAUAUAUUUGUAUUUAAAAAAAAAAAACCUUGCUACGAGCACUUUACUGGUGAAACUGGCACUUGCAUACACUAAACAGAACAAAACAACUCAGCUGUGACAGUCAUAUUGUUUCUAUAUAUAAAAUCAACUACUUUAAAUGAAUAAUUUUAUAUUUCUCUAUCAUUUUUAAUUGGAUGUCAUUUUUGGCAGCUCGUUCAUGGCAGCUAUGAAUGCAAGUGCCAUUCUGUGACUAAGCAAUGCUAUCGAUUUUGCCAUCGAUUAAGUGGCUGCCUCUGUGAUGAUGCAAAUCAUAUACAGUAAAAAAAAAAAAAUAAAAAGUGAACACAGUGUGAACACAAUCCAGUGGAGGCAGCUUUUGGACCAAGCCAUUGUACUAAGUGUGAAAUCACCUGUAUGUUUUAUUCCAAAUCUUCUGUCUUUUAUGUCCUAUAUGCUCACUUUUUGCACGGCUACAGCUUUACUUUUCUAAAGAAACAUAGAGGACUUUUAUUUACUGCACAAAAUUAACUUGACUAAAGGUACAUGUCUAGUAAGUUCAGUGGCUGAGAUGUUUUAUAUUUUCUUAUUUGAACUAUGCAUCAGGUCACUGUACUGAAAUAAUAACUUGAUCUGUGAUGAAACCACUAUUGAUGUGAUGAAUAUUAAAGUAUGUUUGUUUUGUAUGUUUAUGUUUGGAUUUCAUUCAGGGUUUAUAAAAGUUGCCAAAUGUGAAGAAAAA
Molecule: long non-coding RNA, 2065 nt
Organism: Ctenopharyngodon idella (grass carp)
Lineage: Eukaryota; Metazoa; Chordata; Actinopteri; Cypriniformes; Xenocyprididae
Exons: 5
Source: RefSeq, a predicted model, not a curated record